CUUCUUUUACUGCAGUUGUAAUAUUUCUUUCACUUUUGCUGUAUUCUAUAUUUUGUAGUACUUCAUAAAGCUCUGUAUACUGUAUGGGACACUUAUGUUUUUGUAUUGCACUGGAUUACUGUAUUUUUAUUUUGGAGUGCUGAAAUUUGUGGAACCAGUUCGUCGUACUGUGGGAGGAAUAAGGGAACAAUUAUAGAAGUGUGUUUGCAGUGCAGGAAAUUUUGUGGUAAGUCCAUCCCUUAGGGGAGGUUCUGCCGGAUCUUCCACAGAAGGGUCCGGUAGGGUUUCCCUGGGAUCAGGGCUUGUCUAGGGUUCCGGUGGGGAACUUUGGACGGGUCCUGACACGGAUGGGAUAAGUUGUUUAUCUCUUUCAUUCCUGCUGAUUCUGCAAAGGCCACAACCAAGACAACUAAAGCAAAUGUGAGGAAUGGCACCUGCAAAUGGGCAGAUCCUAUCUAUGAAACUACUAGACUUCUUCAAGACAUUAAAACAAAGCAGUAUGAUGAGAGGAUCUAUAAACUUGUGGUCACAAUGGGUUCUUCACGAUCUAGUGUCCUUGGUGAGGCUAACAUCAAUCUAGCUCAUUAUGCUGAUGCACUAAAGCCUUCUAUUGUUGCACUGCCUCUUCAGGGAUGUGACUCUGGAGCUAUUUUACAUGUAACUGUUCAGCUGCUAACUUCUAAAACUGGUUUCA
Molecule: long non-coding RNA, 694 nt
Organism: Ziziphus jujuba (common jujube)
Lineage: Eukaryota; Viridiplantae; Streptophyta; Magnoliopsida; Rosales; Rhamnaceae
Exons: 3
Source: RefSeq, a predicted model, not a curated record